This 253-nucleotide ribosomal RNA is filed under the name uncultured bacterium. Its description in RNAcentral is "partial 16S ribosomal RNA". It matches the Rfam family "Bacterial small subunit ribosomal RNA", at positions 524 to 776 of the family's 1533-position model. The record is from RNAcentral.
UACGUAGGGGGCAAGCGUUGUCCGGAUUUAUUGGGCGUAAAGCGCUCGCAGGUGGUUCGUCGCGUCGUGCGUGAAAGACCCCGGCUCAACUGGGGAGGGUCGUGCGAUACGGGCGGACUGGAGGCCAGUAGGGGGAUGCGGAAUUCCGGGUGUAGUGGUGGAAUGCGUAGAGAUCCGGAGGAACACCGACGGCGAAGGCAGCGCCCUGGCCGCCAUCUGACGCUCAGGCACGAAAGCUGGGUGAGCGAACAGG